ACACGUGGACAACCUACCCUCCGGUCUGGCAUAACCCCGGGAAACUGGGAAUAAUACCGGAUAUAGCGCGAAUGCUGGAAUGCAUCGCGCUAGAAAGCUCCGGCGCCGGAGGAUGGGUCUGCGGCCUAUCAGGGUAGUAGUGGGUGUAACGGACCUACUAGCCUACGACGGGUACGGGUUGUGAGAGCAAGAUCCCGGAGAUGGAUUCUGAGACACGAAUCCAGGCCCUACGGGGUGCAGCAGGCGCGAAAACUUUACAAUGCUGGCAACAGCGAUAAGGGGACCUCGAGUGCCAGGAUACAAUCCUGGCUGUCGCGAUGCCUAAAAAGCAUUGCAUAGCAAGGGCCGGGCAAGACCGGUGCCAGCCGCCGCGGUAACACCGGCGGCUCGAGUGGUAACCGCUAUUAUUGGGUCUAAAGGGUCUGUAGCCGGCUGGAUAAGUCUCUUGGGAAAUCCGGCAGCUUAACUGUCGGGCUGUCAGGGGAUACUGUCCGGCUCGAGACCGGGAGAGGUGAGAGGUACCUCAGGGGUAGGGGUGAAAUCUUGUAAUCCUUGAGGGACCACCAGUGGCGAAGGCGUCUCACCAGAACGGAUCUGACGGCAAGGGACGAAAGCUAGGGGCACGAACCGGAUUAGAUA
RNAcentral lists this ribosomal RNA (639 nucleotides) under uncultured archaeon. RNAcentral's name for it is "bacterial SSU rRNA". It matches the Rfam family "Archaeal small subunit ribosomal RNA", at positions 96 to 735 of the family's 1478-position model. The record is from RNAcentral.